Molecule: ribosomal RNA, 376 nt
Filed under: uncultured bacterium
Lineage: Bacteria
Description: bacterial SSU rRNA
Rfam family: Bacterial small subunit ribosomal RNA
Source: RNAcentral
AACAAACGCUGGCGGCGUGCCUAAUACAUGCAAGUCGAACGCAGUAGCAAUACUGAGUGGCGCACGGGUGAGUAACACGUGGAUAAUCUCCCUCCGAGUGGGGAAUAACCUUUCGAAAGAAGGGCUAAUACCGCAUAAGACCACAGGAACUUUGGUUCUAGGGGUCAAAGGGGCGUAAGCUCUCGCUUGGAGAUGAGUCCGCGCCCGAUUAGCUAGUUGGUGAGGUAACGGCUCACCAAGGCAUUUAUCGGUAGCUGGUCUGAGAGGAUGACCAGUCACACUGGAACUGAGACACGGUCCAGACUCCUACGGGAGGCAGCAGUAGGAAUAUUGCGCAAUGGGCGAAAGCCUGACGCAGCGACGCCGCGUGAGUGAU